GGUAAAUUGUAGGGGGGGCAAGCCAUCCAUCACAUAAAACUACAUUGAAAACACAUCAAAUUCAGAGCCCUGACAGGCAGAUAGGUCUCUGCUCUGAAGGAAGCAAAGUUCUGAUGUCACAGAUCCCUUUUCCUCACAGGAGGAGGUGAUGAUUAAGCCCAGGAUCCUUCUUUCCACACAGUGACAGCGACCACGAUUUGCUGCUCGGUGUCCACAGCCCCACAUGGACACAAGCCUGGUGACAGCCCUGUCAGCCCGCUGUAACUUUUGGUUUUCUUUAAGCUUCUAGGACAGGAUCUGCUUGACAAAAGGUGAAAGAUGGUUUGAGUGAGGUUAUCAGAGGGAUAAAACAAUACUUGAAGCAGCGCCAGACCAGUUUUCCUGCUGUUCUCCUGUAGUCAUUGCACAGGUUUUCGGAAAUUGUUUCCCUGCCCUUUUCACCCUCACAUUCCUCUCCUUCCAACAGAUUGAGGCCAAAGCAGAAGAGCAAAGUGGAUUAAUUGGUUUUUUUUCCCUUCAGAAAUCUGGCAUCUUCGCUUUCACACUUCUUGAUAUUCACCAUCACCAGUGGAAAAUAAAAGGAAGUUUAAAAUUCAGAGCUUGGACUGCCUAUGGAUUCUAACACUGACUAGGGAUUUAAAAUCCUUCAUCUCUUUUCAAGUGAUGUUGGCAACCUAAUUUUGACUCCAUAUUUCCAUGAUGCUGAAGGAAAAAGAGAAAAAGAAUAAUUACAAAAAAGAAAAUAAGCAGAAAUUGUUUCAGUGAGGUGUUUUGAUCACCCCCAUGAGCUGUUUUCUUGCUGUGUUGUGCGUGACUGAAAAUCAGAAAGUGAAUCUGCUUAUUUCCAAAUGGAAGCUGACCAGACUCGUUUCAUCAAACUGCAGCAAAAAUAGCGAACAAGGGAAAAAUAAACGUAGGUGAUUAGAAUAAUUUCCA
This 936-nucleotide long non-coding RNA is filed under the name Cyanistes caeruleus (blue tit). RNAcentral describes it as "lncRNA (ENSCCEG00000011495.1)". The record is from RNAcentral. Lineage: Eukaryota; Metazoa; Chordata; Aves; Passeriformes; Paridae.